UUUAUGGAGAGUUUGAUCCUGGCUCAGGAUGAACGCUGGCGGCGUGCCUAAUACAUGCAAGUCGAGCGAACGGACGAGAAGCUUGCUUCUCUGAUGUUAGCGGCGGACGGGUGAGUAACACGUGGAUAACCUACCUAUAAGACUGGGAUAACUUCGGGAAACCGGAGCU
Molecule: ribosomal RNA, 169 nt
Filed under: Staphylococcus aureus
Lineage: Bacteria; Bacillati; Bacillota; Bacilli; Caryophanales; Staphylococcaceae
Description: partial 16S ribosomal RNA
Rfam family: Bacterial small subunit ribosomal RNA
Source: RNAcentral